CAGUCGCCGCGGUAAUACGAAGGGUGCAAGCGUUAUCGGAAUUACUGGGCGUAAAGCGUGCGUAGGCGGUGAGUUAAGUCUGCUGUGAAAUCCCCGGGCUCAACCUGGGAAUGGCAGUGGAUACUGGCUCGCUAGAGUGUGUCAGAGGAUGGUGGAAUUCCCGGUGUAGCGGUGAAAUGCGUAGAGAUCGGGAGGAACAUCAGUGGCGAAGGCGGCCAUCUGGGACAACACUGACGCUGAGGCACGAAAGCGUGGGGAGCAAACAGGAUUAGAGACCCCUGUAGUCCCUGUCUCUUAUACA
This 301-nucleotide ribosomal RNA is filed under the name uncultured bacterium. RNAcentral describes it as "partial 16S ribosomal RNA". It matches the Rfam family "Bacterial small subunit ribosomal RNA", at positions 509 to 808 of the family's 1533-position model. The record is from RNAcentral.